Long non-coding RNA from Chinchilla lanigera (long-tailed chinchilla), 744 nucleotides. RefSeq lists it as uncharacterized. Lineage: Eukaryota; Metazoa; Chordata; Mammalia; Rodentia; Chinchillidae. The record is from RefSeq and is a predicted model, not a curated record. The transcript is spliced from 4 exons.
AGAAGAGCUCUUUCCUGUCUGUCUCAAUACCCUCCUUAUCCCCCGCGGUGACGGAAUCCCGGGCCUGUUUCCCUCUGUUUAAUGCCGUUGCCGGGACCACGGUGGCCACGCGCCAGGCGCAGGGAGUUCCGCGGCGGUGGCGCUCGGAGGCGGCCAGCUGGGCUGUGCGCCGGGCCCCGCAGCCACCAGCCUUGCUCCGCCGGCUCCCAGCCGCGUCCCUGCGCCUCUUUUCCUCUUCCUCGGUCUCCUCUCGAGAUUCCCAAGCAGGAUGCUUUGCUGCUGUAGCCAUCCCAUGUCCCAGCUCCUGUCAUCAGGCCAGUUCUUCAUCUUUACUAGGACACUUCUAGCCACAGUGCUGCACAAGACUUCCUCUGACCCCAGAGACCCAGCAGCAAUGCCAGGGGGUGAUAAGACCUACAGUAACUGCUACUCUGCUUGGAUACCAAUUAUCCAGCCUUAAGGUAUCACUCAACGGGUCACAAAGCUCAAAGAAGAGGCAAAGAUAAUCACUUUUCAAAUGUAAUUCUGAAACCAACAACUAGAGAGAAGAUUGGGGAUGCACAGACAAUGACUAGUCAAUGUCUCCAUGGAUGUCUAGUUUUUGGAAUGCUACAUUCUAUAGCACAUGGACAGAAAGCUGGUCCUCUGGUGGGGAAACAAUGCCAAUCAAGUAGAGACACACCAAGCGAGCAUACUUCAUACAGACAUGAGCAUGAGUGCUUCUCAGCCAUUUGGGAAACUUGA